This 253-nucleotide unclassified non-coding RNA is filed under the name uncultured Pseudobdellovibrionaceae bacterium. Its description in RNAcentral is "uncultured Bdellovibrionaceae bacterium contains 16S-23S intergenic spacer region". It matches the Rfam family "Bacterial small subunit ribosomal RNA", at positions 524 to 776 of the family's 1533-position model. The record is from RNAcentral. Lineage: Bacteria; Pseudomonadati; Bdellovibrionota; Bdellovibrionia; Bdellovibrionales; Pseudobdellovibrionaceae.
UACGAGGGGUCCUAGCGUUGUUCGGAAUCAUUGGGCGUAAAGCGGGUGUAGGCGGCUUCGUAAGUCAGAAGUGAAAGCCCUGGGCUCAACCUAGGAAGUGCUUUUGAUACUGCGGAGCUUGAGUGUGGGAGAGGAUAGUAGAAUUCCUAGUGUAGUGGUGAAAUACGUAGAUAUCAGGAGGAAUACCGGUGGCGAAGGCGGCUAUUUGGCCCAACACUGACGCUCAGACCCGAAAGCGUGGGGAGCAAACAGG